UACGUAGGGGGCAAGCGUUGUCCGGAUUUAUUGGGCGUAAAGAGCGUGUAGGCGGCCAUACAGGUCAGCUGUGAAAACUCGAGGCUCAACCUCGAGACGUCGGUUGAAACCGUAUGGCUAGAGUCCGGAAGAGGAGAGUGGAAUUCCCGGUGUAGCGGUGAAAUGCGCAGAUAUCGGGAAGAACACGCGUGGCGAAGGCGGCUCUCUGGGACGGUACUGACGCUGAGACGCGAAAGCGUGGGGAGCGAACAGG
This 253-nucleotide ribosomal RNA is filed under the name uncultured bacterium. Its description in RNAcentral is "partial 16S ribosomal RNA". It matches the Rfam family "Bacterial small subunit ribosomal RNA", at positions 524 to 776 of the family's 1533-position model. The record is from RNAcentral.